CCUACGGGAGGCAGCAGUAGGGAAUCUUCCACAAUGGGCGAAAGCCUGAUGGAGCAACGCCGCGUGGGUGAAGAAGGUCUUCGGAUCGUAAAACCCUGUUGUUAGAGAAGAAAGUGCGUGAGAGUAACUGUUCACGUUUCGACGGUAUCUAACCAGAAAGCCACGGCUAACUACGUGCCAGCAGCCGCGGUAAUACGUAGGUGGCAAGCGUUAUCGGGAUUUAUUGGGCGUAAAGGGAACGGAGGCGGUCUUUUCAGUCUGAUGUGAAAGCCUUCGGCUUAACCGGAGUAGUGCAUUGGAAACUGGGAGACUGGAGUGCAGAAGAGGAGAGUGGAACUCCAUGUGUAGCGGUGAAAUGCGUAGAUAUAUGGAAGAACACCAGUGGCGAAAGCGGCUCUCUGGUCUGUAACUGACGCUGAGGUUCGAAAGCGUGGGUAGCAAACAGGAUUAGAUACCCCUGUAGUC
RNAcentral lists this ribosomal RNA (465 nucleotides) under uncultured bacterium. RNAcentral's name for it is "partial 16S ribosomal RNA". It matches the Rfam family "Bacterial small subunit ribosomal RNA", at positions 338 to 795 of the family's 1533-position model. The record is from RNAcentral.